This is a non-coding RNA of Momordica charantia (bitter melon), 970 nucleotides long. The record is from RefSeq and is a predicted model, not a curated record. Lineage: Eukaryota; Viridiplantae; Streptophyta; Magnoliopsida; Cucurbitales; Cucurbitaceae.
UAAAUCAAAACCUUAGCCUCUCCAAUAUUCUUCUUCUUCUUCCUCCUCUCUUGGUAGCCGCCUACCCCCUCCUUCUUCGUCUCCGGCGAUCCGCCACCAACCGGCACGGUCAAAUCCCAUCCCAUGCCCAAAUUUCUUUCUUCUUUCUUAUUCUUCUUCUGUGACUUCUUCUCCCUCUUAUUUCUUCUUCUUCUUUAGCCGCUUCUUCUUUCUUUUUCUUCUCCUGCUGUUUCUUCUUCUUCUUUCUUCGUCUUUUCUACUGCUUCUCACGCUAUUGAUGGCACUACCAGGCCUAUUCUUUUCUUUUUUAAUCCAUCGUUUCGUUCUGUUUCGUUUUUUAGGGUUCUAUCAUUUGAAAAGUACGAAACACGAAAUUUGCGAUUCAAAAUGCGAUUUGAAUCGUUUUGCCUUUGUUUCAUUAUGAAUCGUAACGUUUUUAACAACAUUGAUUUUGUGUACUCUUUCCUCCAAUAUAUCCCAUCUAAUAUGUCUAUGGGUUGCUUUGAUAAGGUUCUUCAUGAGCACCAAUUUAUCACUACUGGUUAUGUUAAAUUUGAGCCCUAACACUGAUGAACUCCAUAGGGAGAAUAUCAAACGAGUUGGAAUAUACAACUCCAUGAUAUCUAAUGGUGAUCACUUUUUGAAGAUGAGGAUGAGGUUAUUGAAUAAAAAACUUAAUGCUUUCUUGGAUGAAAAGGUUGAGAAGUUGGCGUAACUAGGUCGUAGGGGACGCAGGGGAACACUACAACAAAUCAGAGUUUUAAUGUCGGACAAAAAAAAAUACGGAGGAAAUGAUGACGGACAAAAAAACUUUGAGGAAACAAGGACGGACCAGUUAAAAAGGGCGUUAAAAUAAAAUAAAAAUAAAAAUAAAAAUUUUAAUGAUGGGCCAAGCCCGACAUUAAAGAUUACCCAAUUUUUAAACCUAACUCUAGUUUUCACCCAAAAAAUAUCUGCCUCCCAGCUCCAU